Podarcis raffonei (Aeolian wall lizard) is the source of this 307-nucleotide long non-coding RNA. RefSeq lists it as uncharacterized. The transcript is spliced from 2 exons. The record is from RefSeq and is a predicted model, not a curated record. Lineage: Eukaryota; Metazoa; Chordata; Lepidosauria; Squamata; Lacertidae.
UACCACGCAGAAGAUGUGUACCCCAGGGAAAGAAGAAACCUAUGCUGGGAAAAAGUUGUGGUACGAGCCUGGUGUGAACCAAAACUUUACUGAGGCUGGUACUAUUGAGGCUGUCUGCAGGAUUGCAGGUGGUAGAUCAAAAUUUGCUGAAAUUCAAAAUGGCAUCUCAGUUCUGCAAAUGGAACCUGUUUUAUGGCUGUUAUGUGUCCUAAAGCCCUAUGCUGCUUCUCCACAGCUGGUCUGCAAACACCUCCCCUACAGCCAGUGCAUAGGAUGUUCACAAUUUUUUAACUUCUAAAAAAAGGAA